Acanthosepion pharaonis is the source of this 100-nucleotide non-coding RNA. The record is from the annotation of a GenBank genome assembly. NCBI's taxonomy places the organism in Eukaryota, Metazoa, Mollusca, Cephalopoda, Sepiida, Sepiidae.
UUGAAACACUGGUUCUCAUAUGAUUACCAAAAUUAAGCAAAGCCGAGUCCUGAUCAGUACCUAGAUGGGUGACUGCUUGGGAAUAUCAGGUGCUGCAAGC